RNAcentral lists this transfer RNA (72 nucleotides) under Camelus bactrianus (Bactrian camel). It matches the Rfam family "tRNA". From Rfam's summary of the family: Transfer RNA (tRNA) molecules are approximately 80 nucleotides in length. Their secondary structure includes four short double-helical elements and three loops (D, anti-codon, and T loops). Further hydrogen bonds mediate the characteristic L-shaped molecular structure. tRNAs have two regions of fundamental functional importance: the anti-codon, which is responsible for specific mRNA codon recognition, and the 3' end, to which the tRNAs corresponding amino acid is attached (by aminoacyl-tRNA synthetases). tRNAs cope with the degeneracy of the genetic code in two manners: having more than one tRNA (with a specific anti-codon) for a particular amino acid; and 'wobble' base-pairing, i.e. permitting non-standard base-pairing at the 3rd anti-codon position. RNAcentral also lists the same sequence under 2 other names. Lineage: Eukaryota; Metazoa; Chordata; Mammalia; Artiodactyla; Camelidae. The record is from Rfam by way of RNAcentral.
GUAUAUAUAGCUCAGUGGCAGAGUGCAUGCUUAGCAUGCAUGAGGGCCUGGGUUCAAUUCUCAGUACCUUCA